RNAcentral lists this ribosomal RNA (254 nucleotides) under uncultured bacterium. RNAcentral describes it as "partial 16S ribosomal RNA". It matches the Rfam family "Bacterial small subunit ribosomal RNA", at positions 524 to 776 of the family's 1533-position model. The record is from RNAcentral.
UACGGGGGGGGCAAGCGUUGUUCGGAAUUACUGGGCGUAAAGGGCUCGUAGGCGGCCAACUAAGUCGGAUGUGAAAUCCCCCAAGCUUAACUUGGGAACUGCAUCCGAUACUGGAUGGCUUGAAUCCGGGAGAGGGAUGCAGAAUUCCAGGUGUAGCGGUGAAAUGCGUAGAUAUCUGGAGGAAUACCGGUGGCGAAGGCGGCAUCCUGGACCGGCAUUGACGCUGAGGAGCGAAAGCUAGGGGAGCAAACGGG